GAUGAACGCUGGCGGCGUGCCUAACACAUGCAAGUCGAACGGAGUCCAGCCUUUAAGACCUUCGGGUCAAAGAGGGGAAGACUGAGUGGUGGACGGGUGAGUAACACGUGGGCAACCUGGCUCAUAGAGGGGGAUAACAGAGAGAAAUUUCUGCUAAUACCGCAUAAGCACACACUGCCGCAUGGCAGAGGGUGAAAAGAGAAUCGUUAUGAGAUGGACCCGCGUCUGAUUAGCCAGUUGGCAGGGUAAGAGCCUACCAAAGCGACGAUCAGUAGCCGAUCUGAGAGGAUGAACGGCCACAUUGGGACUGAGACACGGCCCAAACUCCUACGGGAGGCAGCAGUGGGGGAUAUUGCACAAUGGGGGGAACCCUGAUGCAGCGACGCCGCGUGAGUGAAGAAGUAUUUCGGUAUGUAAAGCUCUAUCAGCAGGGAAGAUAAUGACAGUACCUGAAGAAGAAGCCCCGGCUAACUACGUG
This 478-nucleotide ribosomal RNA is filed under the name uncultured bacterium. Its description in RNAcentral is "partial 16S ribosomal RNA". It matches the Rfam family "Bacterial small subunit ribosomal RNA", at positions 28 to 507 of the family's 1533-position model. The record is from RNAcentral.